Molecule: ribosomal RNA, 408 nt
Filed under: uncultured bacterium
Lineage: Bacteria
Description: partial 16S ribosomal RNA
Rfam family: Bacterial small subunit ribosomal RNA
Source: RNAcentral
GACGAACGCUGGCGGCGUGCUUAACACAUGCAAGUCGACCGGAGUGGCGAACGGGUGAGUAACACGUGGGUGAUCUGCCUUGCACUUCGGGAUAAGCUUGGGAAACUGGGUCUAAUACCGGAUAGUGCACGAUUGGCUCUCGGCCUAUCAGCUUGUUGGGGGGGUAAUGGCCUACCCAGGCGUCGACUGGUAGCCGGCCUGGGAGGGUGUACGGCCACAUGGGGCCUGCGAUACGCACCAGUCGCCUACGGUGGGCAGUGGUGGCGAGUCUGGCACAAUGGGCGGAAGCGUGUGGCGGCGGCGCCGCGGGUGGGAUGUAGGUUUUCGGGUUGUAAAGUCCUUGCGACAGGGACGCGUUACCUGUAUAAGAAGCACCGGCUAACUACGUGCCAGCAGCCGCGGUAAUUC